UACGAAGGGUGCAAACGUUGCUCGGAAUUAUUGGGCGUAAAGCGCACGUAGGCGGCCUUGUAAGUCGGAUGUGAAAUCCCUCGGCUUAACCGAGGACGUGCAUCCGAAACUGUGAGGCUCGAGUAUGGAAGAGGGUCGCAGAAUUCCCGGUGUAGAGGUGAAAUUCGUAGAUAUCGGGAGGAAUACCAGUGGCGAAGGCGGGUCUCUGGACAGUUCCUGACACUGAGAUACGAAGGCCAGGGGAGCAAACGGG
RNAcentral lists this ribosomal RNA (253 nucleotides) under uncultured bacterium. Its description in RNAcentral is "partial 16S ribosomal RNA". It matches the Rfam family "Bacterial small subunit ribosomal RNA", at positions 524 to 776 of the family's 1533-position model. The record is from RNAcentral.